RNAcentral lists this ribosomal RNA (446 nucleotides) under uncultured bacterium. Its description in RNAcentral is "partial 16S ribosomal RNA". It matches the Rfam family "Bacterial small subunit ribosomal RNA", at positions 338 to 795 of the family's 1533-position model. The record is from RNAcentral.
CCUACGGGUGGCAGCAGUCGAGAAUCAUUCACAAUGGGGGAAACCCUGAUGGUGCGACGCCGCGUGGGGGAAUGAAGGUCUUCGGAUUGUAAACCCCUGUCAUGUGGGAGCAAAUUAAAAAGAUAGUACCACAAGAGGAAGAGACGGCCAACUCUGUGCCAGCAGCCGCGGUACUACAGAGGUCUCAAGCGUUGUUCGGAAUCACUGGGCGUAAAGCGUGCGUAGGCUGUUUCGUAAGUCGGGUGUGAAAGGCGCGGGCUCAACCCGCGGACGGCACAUGAUACUGCGAGACUAGAGUAAUGGAGGGGGAACCGGAAUUCUCGGUGUAGCAGUGAAAUGCGUAGAUAUCGAGAGGAACACUCGUGGCGAAGGCGGGUUCCUGGACAUUAACUGACGCUGAGGCACGAAGGCCAGGGGAGCGAAAGGGAUUAGAUACCCGAGUAGUC